Molecule: non-coding RNA, 23 nt
Filed under: Arabidopsis thaliana (thale cress)
Lineage: Eukaryota; Viridiplantae; Streptophyta; Magnoliopsida; Brassicales; Brassicaceae
Source: RNAcentral
UCACAUUGUGGCCGUGUGGGUCA